Bos taurus (domestic cattle) is the source of this 710-nucleotide long non-coding RNA. Lineage: Eukaryota; Metazoa; Chordata; Mammalia; Artiodactyla; Bovidae. The record is from Ensembl.
ACCUCCUGGGGAGGCCCCCGAGGCAGGAAAUCAAGCCAGAUCCUGGGAAAGGGCCUUCUUGCUAAUGAACUGGCCAACCAGGCCCCUGUAAAUCCACUGACCCAUCACUAACUUACUAUGUGACUCUGCUCUCUGGGCCUCAGGCUCCUGCUCUAUAAUCAGGAGGGGACAAGGGGAGAAGCAGCGUGGUGGGAUUUAGAUGGCAAGCAUGCCUGGUAGUGGCAGGGCCAUCCGUGAACUGAGCUGAGGACAUUACAGGCCCUGGAGUGGCUGUGAGGAGCCAGGUGGCUGGAGAUGGCAGAGGCUUUGUCCUCUCUUGGAAAAGGCAGAUGAUAUUCUUUUUUAACCAACAAGCUUACCAUGUACCUGACUGCACAAAGUCUACACAGACUCACUUCAGCUUCUCCACAUUCCCAGAGAGGGUGUUUGCUACUCUGAUGGACAAACGGACAGGGGACGCAACUGUCCAGUAUCACUCGGCUCGCUGGACCAGGACAGCAGCACCAGCCUCAUCUCUGUUCUCCUCCUCCUGUCUGUUCUCGGCUCUGCAGCCGAGCGCUCUCAAAUCCACCAAGCUCUGUCCUGCCCUCACUCAGCGCCCUCCAGGGAUGUCCCCCACUCUUCAGUUUUAUUCUCCCCCACACCAACUUUGUACUCUGAAAUUCCUCUAUAAGAGGUGAAAGACUAGAAAAUGAAUACCCUAUGUACUU